RNAcentral lists this small nucleolar RNA (204 nucleotides) under Castor canadensis (American beaver). RNAcentral describes it as "Small nucleolar RNA SNORA73 family (ENSCCNG00000004832.1)". It matches the Rfam family "Small nucleolar RNA SNORA73 family". From Rfam's summary of the family: U17 (SNORA73A and SNORA73B) also known as E1 belongs to the H/ACA class of small nucleolar RNAs (snoRNAs). Vertebrate U17 is intron-encoded and ranges in length from 200-230 nucleotides, longer than most snoRNAs. It is one of the most abundant snoRNAs in human cells and is essential for the cleavage of pre-rRNA within the 5' external transcribed spacer (ETS). Lineage: Eukaryota; Metazoa; Chordata; Mammalia; Rodentia; Castoridae. The record is from Rfam by way of RNAcentral.
CUAAAAUGGAUACCCUGCCAGGUCACUCUCUCUGGGCUCUGUUUGAUUGGUGGAAGAGAACAAAAAACUCUGUCCCGUGAUGUACAGUCCCUUUCAACAAUACUGAAGGGGAAGCUGUGCUUUGAGUCUGUGCCUGCAUUUUCCUACACCUUCUGAGAGACCUGUGGCCAAUGACUGAGGAGAAAAGUCUUGAAGGAAACAGUC